Molecule: long non-coding RNA, 435 nt
Filed under: Cyanistes caeruleus (blue tit)
Lineage: Eukaryota; Metazoa; Chordata; Aves; Passeriformes; Paridae
Description: lncRNA (ENSCCEG00000020506.1)
Source: RNAcentral
AUGAGCUUUUUGAGAACUCAGGAGAUUGCAGAGAGCACAUCUGAGUGUACCAUCUGGGAUGAGAGCUCUCCCAGCUCUCAUUUGGUGCUGUGGAGAUUGGACUGCUGGAUAUCAGAGAAUUUGGCUGCUGCCAUGUCACAGCAGGCUGAGUCAUUGACUGUUGAGUCAUUAAAGUGCUCUGCUUUUCCUCAAGCCCUCUGCUCCUGUGCUGCUUCACAGGUGCCCGCAGCUGGAAAAAGGAAAGGGAUUGGAAGACCCUCUGAAAACCAGAUGACUCUACUGGCAUCAGUCAGCUCUUAAGUUGUGAUGAAGUGCUGAGAUGAAGAACAUGGGAUUUCUUUCAAAGCCAAGUUGGCCUCCAGUUCCUGUGUUGGCCUCAAAUGUCUGCAUCCAAAAAAAGCUGAAAAUAAAGUCACCUGUAAGGUAUUCUCUGCA